AGGACCUGUUUACUGAAAAUUAUAAAAUAUCAAUGAAAGAAAUUAAGGAUUAUAAUACACCCAACAGGAAUCUGGGGUCAUUGUGAUGAGGGGUACAAAACUUGUGGCCUGCCUACAAACAAAUUCCCUACAUGU
Molecule: non-coding RNA, 135 nt
Organism: Otolemur garnettii (small-eared galago)
Lineage: Eukaryota; Metazoa; Chordata; Mammalia; Primates; Galagidae
Source: Rfam